Molecule: long non-coding RNA, 274 nt
Organism: Antechinus flavipes (yellow-footed antechinus)
Lineage: Eukaryota; Metazoa; Chordata; Mammalia; Dasyuromorphia; Dasyuridae
Exons: 3
Source: RefSeq, a predicted model, not a curated record
UUCCAGGGUCCAUGCAAAUGUAUAGGAUGGCUUUUUUUGGAAAGGUGCUUUACUCAAAUUAGGCCUAUCUACACUUGUAAAAUGAGGACUAAUAUUUCAUAUUCUUUUUCUUUCCUUUCCAAUGAAUACUUGCUGCUCCAUAAAACAAAAGUGACCAUGAAAUCAACAGAGGGGCAGGACGUUGGGGUCCAUUGCACUUCUAUCCACAAGAGACACCCGAGCUUGAAUCACCGUGGAGCAGCGAAGAUGAUGAUGAAAUCAACUGUUGGGCAGG